RNAcentral lists this ribosomal RNA (460 nucleotides) under uncultured bacterium. Its description in RNAcentral is "partial 16S ribosomal RNA". It matches the Rfam family "Bacterial small subunit ribosomal RNA", at positions 338 to 795 of the family's 1533-position model. The record is from RNAcentral.
CCUACGGGUGGCUGCAGUGAGGAAUAUUGGUCAAUGGGCGAGAGCCUGAACCAGCCAAGUCGCGUGAAGGAUGAAGGAUCUAUGGUUUGUAAACUUCUUUUAUAUGGGAAUAAAGUGAGGAACGUGUUCCUUUUUGUAUGUACCAUAUGAAUAAGCAUCGGCUAACUCCGUGCCAGCAGCCGCGGUAAUACGGAGGAUGCGAGCGUUAUCCGGAUUUAUUGGGUUUAAGGGGUGCGUAGGUGGUUAAUUAAGUCAGCGGUGAAAGUUUGUGGCUCAACCAUAAAAUUGCCGUUGAAACUGGUUGACUUGAGUAUAUUUGAGGUAGGCGGAAUGCGUGGUGUAGCGGUGAAAUGCAUAGAUAUCAGGAGGAACACCGGUGGCGAAGGCGGCCUGCUGGACUGCAACUGACGUUGAGGCCCGAAAGCGUGGGGAGCAAACAGGAUUAGAUACCCCUGUAGUC